Acanthosepion pharaonis is the source of this 115-nucleotide non-coding RNA. Lineage: Eukaryota; Metazoa; Mollusca; Cephalopoda; Sepiida; Sepiidae. The record is from the annotation of a GenBank genome assembly.
UUACGGCCAUUUUCAAGUUGAAACAGCAGUGCUCAUAUGUUCACCGAAGUUAAGUAACGUCGAGCCUAGUCAGUACCUGGAUAGGUGACUGCUUUUGAAUACCAGGAGUUGUAAA